This 421-nucleotide ribosomal RNA is filed under the name uncultured eukaryote. RNAcentral describes it as "SSU rRNA". It matches the Rfam family "Eukaryotic small subunit ribosomal RNA", at positions 477 to 911 of the family's 1831-position model. The record is from RNAcentral.
CGAUGUUAGAGCAUAUUGGUUCUGCAUUGGAAUGAGUACAAUUUAAAUCCCUUAACGAGGAACAAUUGGAGGGCAAGUCUGGUGCCAGCAGCCGCGGUAAUUCCAGCUCCAAUAGCGUAUAUUAAAGUUGUUGCAGUUAAAAAGCUCGUAGUUGAAUUUCGGGUCUAGCAAGUUGGUCUGCUUAUGGCGGUACUGGCAUUGUUGGACCUUACCUUCUGGGGAACCAAGGUGCUCUUCACUGAGUGCUUUGGGGAACCAGAACCUUUACCUUGAAAAAAUUAAAGUGUUUAAGGCAGGCUUAUGCUUGAAUACAUUAGCAUGGAAUAAUAGAAUAGGACUUUGGUUCUAUUUUGUUGGUUUCUAGGACCAGAGUAAUGAUUAAUAGGGAUAGUUGGGGGCAUUAGUAUUGAGCAGCUAGAGG